RNAcentral lists this unclassified non-coding RNA (1940 nucleotides) under uncultured fungus. Its description in RNAcentral is "sequence contains 18S rRNA gene, ITS1, 5.8S rRNA gene, ITS2, 28S rRNA gene". The stretch from base 740 to 1940 matches the Rfam family "Eukaryotic large subunit ribosomal RNA", at positions 1 to 961 of the family's 3401-position model. The record is from RNAcentral. Lineage: Eukaryota; Fungi.
GUAUGGAUCAUUACCGUUUUUGAUUGAUUCAAUAUUCAAUCAUAAACACAUUUCAACUUCGCGCAAUCAUCAUCAUCAUGUGAUCCUUGUGAUUAUGUGGAUGAUUGUGUCGCACCAUUAUGUAUUGAACAAGAUAACAUUCAUAUGAACUAUGAUUCUUCGUGAUAGUAGUUCAUGUUGUCUUGUUUCUAAACCCUUUCCAUUCAACAAAUCAUUGUUGUUUGUCAUUGAAUAUGAAUCGAAUGUACAUACACAGAAAAAACAAAUACAAUUCUGUACGGUGGAUCACUCGGCUCGUUAUUCGAUGAAGAGCGCAGCAAAGUGCGAGAAAGCAAUGCGAAUUGCAGGACACAUUGAGCAUGAAUAACUCGAACGCAUCUAGCAGCCAAGGCGUAAGCCGAGGCUAAAUUUGCUUCAGUCUUGUUUACAUAACAUCAAAUUCAUUUAUUCUUAUAUAAAUGAAUUGCUGGCAAGUUCGAUAAUCUAUUUAUCUAGCUUGCAAGACAUAUUUCUCAUAUGACAUGAUUAUAUACAUAUUUCUAUGUAUGUAAGAAUGUUGUAUACGUAUGAAACGGAGUUAUACACAUACACAUAAAAUGAUUUUAUUGUGUAAACUGUCAUAACACGAGAAAUCUUUAUCAUAUCCGUGUUGUUGAUCAUAUAUACGCAAUAGAAUUCAUGUGUAGAUGUUAUGAUAUUCCUUGUUCUAUUGAAAUGAUUUGAUCAUUUUCAUUCGUUUCAAGCUGAAGUCAAAUUAGAAUACUUGCUGAACUUAAGCAUAUUAAUAAGCAAAGGAAAAGAAAUCAACUGAGAUUGCCUUAGUAAUGGCGAAUGAACCGGCAAAAGCUCAUUGCUGAAGCGUGUUGGAUUGACUUCUAACAUGCAUUGUAGCAUUUGGGGUAACUACUGUAGGAUGCCUGUUCGUGUGAGUUCCUUUGAUCAGGGCUUCUACCAUAGAAGGUGCUAGUCCUAUAAUCACGAAUAGUUGUGUCUUACAUUGUCUACCUUUCGAGUAGCGUAGUUUGAGAUUGCUACGCCAACGUGGGACGUAAACUUGUUCCAAAGCUAAAUAUCAUAACGAGACCGAUAGCGAACAAGUACCGUGAGGGAAAGUUGAAAAGCACUCUGAAGAGAGAGUUAAAUAGUACGUAAAACCGUACAGAAGAAAACGAAUGGCCGCAUUCAUCAGAUGACUUUGAAUUCAAUUCGAUCUCUGUGGUAAUCCUAGUUGAUCCGGAACUUCAACAGUCCAUCGGCUAGUUCUUGCUCGGAAUCGGAUGCAUUUUCAAAGUAUUACUGAACCUGGAUCUAUAACAUACAGCUAGUCGAAUCAGCCUGUCUUGGUAGCGAGUUUACUCGUGAUAGGAUAUGGUUUGCAUAAAUAACAAAUUCGACUUGGCGUUAUAGGUAAACAGACAUGGUUUUGAUUUCAGUACCUCGUGUACGGCAUGCCAUGAGCAUUGUUUGUGUCGCAUGAGUGACUAAUGUCUAACCGGCUUUAGUUUCAUUCAUGUUGGUGCCUAAUGUUUUGUGGCUGUCAAUGAAAUCGGCAAGUCUACAGGAGUUUUGAAUGCCGAGUUAUUCGACCCGUCUUGAAACACGGUCUAAGGAGUUCACUGCAUGUGCAAGAGUUCGGCUGUAUGAAAAGCCUUGCUCGUAAUGAAAGUAAAGAACAUUCUCGCAAUGUUUUAAGUGUGAUUUCUGUCAUCUGGUGCAAAUCAUGACAAUGAACGCAACACUGACAGGUUCUAUUGCCGCUGGCAAAGAGCUUAGUAAGAGUAUAUGCAAUGAGACCCGAAAGAUGGUGAACUUAAUGUGUGUAGAAUGAAGCCAGGGGAAACCCUGGUGGAAGUUCGUAGCGGUUCUGACGUGCAAAUCGAUCGUCAAACAUGCAUUAAGGGGCGAAAGACUAAUCGAACCAUCUAGUAGCUGGUUCCGUC